AAAAGACCUGUAUGAAACACAAGAUGUCAAAGAAGCAGAAGGAAAAUUAAGCGCCAGCCUGGCUUAA
This is a non-coding RNA of Myotis davidii, 67 nucleotides long. NCBI's taxonomy places the organism in Eukaryota, Metazoa, Chordata, Mammalia, Chiroptera, Vespertilionidae. The record is from Rfam.